GACGAACGCUGGCGGCGUGCUUAACACAUGCAAGUCGAACGGAAAGGCCCUGCUUUUGUGGGGUGCUCGAGUGGCGAACGGGUGAGUAAGACGUGAGUAACCUGCCCUUGACUUUGGGAUAACUUCAGGAAACUGGGGCUACUACCGGAUCGGAGCUCCUGCUGCAUGGUGGGGGGUGGAAAGAUACGGCGGUUGGGGAUGGACUCCCGGCUAAUCAGCUUGUUGGUGGGGGAGUGGCUUACCCAGGCUGUGAAGGGUAGCCGGCAUGAGAGGGUGAACGGCCACAAGGGUACUGAGGGACGGACCAGACUCCAACGGGAGGCAGCAGGCGCGAAUAUUGCACAAUGGGCGCAAGUCGGAUGCAGCAACGCCGCGUGCGGGAUGACGGCCUUCUGGUUGAAAACCGCUUUAGCCUGAUACGAAGCGUGAGUGACGGUAAUGAAUAAAGAAGCACCGGCUAACUACGUG
RNAcentral lists this ribosomal RNA (468 nucleotides) under uncultured bacterium. Its description in RNAcentral is "partial 16S ribosomal RNA". It matches the Rfam family "Bacterial small subunit ribosomal RNA", at positions 28 to 507 of the family's 1533-position model. The record is from RNAcentral.